Molecule: ribosomal RNA, 123 nt
Filed under: Proteromonas lacertae
Lineage: Eukaryota; Bigyra; Opalinata; Proteromonadidae
Description: partial 18S ribosomal RNA
Rfam family: Eukaryotic small subunit ribosomal RNA
Source: RNAcentral
AUGAGGUGAAAAAGAUAGAGAGUAGGGGAUCUCGGUCUCUUAUUCACAAGUCUUUUAAAUCUUAUUAUUUAGAGGAAGGUGAAGUCGUAACAAGGUUUCCGUAGGUGAACCUGCGGAAGGAUC